Molecule: ribosomal RNA, 274 nt
Filed under: uncultured bacterium
Lineage: Bacteria
Description: partial 16S ribosomal RNA
Rfam family: Bacterial small subunit ribosomal RNA
Source: RNAcentral
AUACAGAAGCCUCAAGCGUUACCCGGAUUCACUGGGCGUAAAGGGUUCGUAGGCGGUUAUAUUAGUCGGGUGUUAAAUCCUGAGGCUCAACCUCAGGCUCGCAUUCGAAACGGUAUAACUAGAAGAAGUGAGAGGUGAACAGAACUCGUGGUGUAGGGGUGAAAUCCGUUGAUAUCAUGGGGAAUACCAAAUGCGAAGGCAGUUCACUGGCACUUUCUUGACGCUGAGGAACGAAAGCGUGGGUAGCGAACGGGAUUAGAAACCCGAGUAGUCC